Long non-coding RNA from Oreochromis aureus, 456 nucleotides. RefSeq lists it as uncharacterized. The record is from RefSeq and is a predicted model, not a curated record. The transcript has 3 exons. NCBI's taxonomy places the organism in Eukaryota, Metazoa, Chordata, Actinopteri, Cichliformes, Cichlidae.
UCGCGCUCACGGAGAAUAUUUUCUCUGCAUGACAGAAAGAACGCAGACGACUUUCUGCUUCAUUCAAUUCUUCCGAUAAGUUUUUGCUUCCUCUUUGCUUCCGUUAGUAACCGAAUUACCGCGAACUAUGAUGGAUUAUCAGAAGAUUGCUUCAGACUUGUCAGGACAGUAACUCAUCACAACCACCUCUGCAAAAUCACUUUCUACUCCAAGAAAACAGCACGUGUCUGAUCUGAGUCUGGAUUUCAGCCGUGCUUUCAACCACCACCACAUCAAUAGACACAGUAGCUGACAGGGAGGGUUCUCCGUUAUCAGAGACCAAGACCACCAAGGGACAGGUGAUAAGAAAGCAGCGCAUUGUAUCCAGAGUCUGCAUCUACAGCCCUGAUCUUUGCCACAAAGUAUCCCGCUUCAGCAGAAUAGGGCAUGCUCUCACUGUUAAUGGAGCCGUGCUCA